GACGAACGCUGGCGGCGUGCUUAACACAUGCAAGUCGAACGAAGUGGCGCACGGGUGAGUCACGCGUAAUCACCCUGCCCUUCAGAGGGGGACAACAGUUGGAAACGACUGCUAAUCCCGCAUACUGAAGGAGGGGAUUGCGUCGGAUUAGCUAGUUGGAGGGGUAACGGCCCACCAAGGCGAUGAUCAGUAGCCGGGCUGAGAGGAGGAACGGCCACACUGGGACUGAGACACGGCCCAGACUCCUACGGGAGGCAGCAGUGGGGAAUCUUCCGCAAUGGACGAAAGUCUGACGGAGCAACGCCGCGUGAGUGAUGAAGGCCUUCGGGUUGUAAAGCUCUGUUAAUCGGGACGCGGUACCUGAAUAGAAAGCCACGGCUAACUACGUGCCAGCAGCCGCGGUAAUAC
This 408-nucleotide ribosomal RNA is filed under the name uncultured bacterium. Its description in RNAcentral is "partial 16S ribosomal RNA". It matches the Rfam family "Bacterial small subunit ribosomal RNA", at positions 28 to 526 of the family's 1533-position model. The record is from RNAcentral.